This 372-nucleotide unclassified non-coding RNA is filed under the name plant metagenome. RNAcentral describes it as "partial contains small subunit ribosomal RNA, internal transcribed spacer 1, and 5.8S ribosomal RNA". The record is from RNAcentral.
UUUCCGUAGGUGAACCUGCGGAAGGAUCAUUACCGUAAAAAACCAAGUACGCCAUGGUGAGAGCUCUCGUCCGUGUCCCUUUUUUAUUAGGGACGCGUGCCGGGUUCGCGCCGUGGCCGUCCUUUUCAACCCCUUGUGUGAACCAUCGAUUUCAAUGUGUGUGCAAGUAAAAGUGAGCAAAGAUUAAACCCUUAUGCACAACCACUUGCCCACGCAUAUGAUUUUCACUCCGAUGUGGGUGUGCCGUGUUUUGCUUGGCCUCGCCGCGCAAGACAUGCACGUCCUUACCAACAACCGAAAACCACAACCAAUGGGACUAACAUGCUUCUGUUGAACCGAAAACAACUUUUAACAACGGAUCUCUAGGCUCUC